AUGAAGAACAUCAACAAUAUUCAUCCAUAUUCAACCAUUCCUCAAGAACAAAAGAGUCAAAAUUCAUCAUUCUUCUUCCUCCCCAACCAGAAUUCCGCAAGCAAGACACUCCCUCUGCCUACCGCUCCAGUCCGUCACCGUAAGUCCUCCCUCCAGCCACCGCGUGAACGCGAUACCUCCUCCGUCUCCGCCUUGUUUUUCCGGUGUUUUCAUCUCCUCUUUACGGCUGUUCCUACAUUAACAUCAUCCUCUGUUUUGUGCUUUGAUUCCGCUUGA
This is a non-coding RNA of Vicia faba (fava bean), 276 nucleotides long. Lineage: Eukaryota; Viridiplantae; Streptophyta; Magnoliopsida; Fabales; Fabaceae. The record is from the annotation of a GenBank genome assembly.